CUACACACGUCAUAACAAGUGGAGUGGUAACGAAAGGGGUCCGACCCAACCCGCGAGGGGGAGCCAAUCCCAUAAAGCCAUUCGUAGUCCGGAUCGCAGUCUGCAACUCGACUGCGUGAAGUCGGAAUCGCUAGUAAUCGUGGAUCAGAAUGUCACGGUGAAUACGUUCCCGGGUCUU
This 178-nucleotide ribosomal RNA is filed under the name uncultured Polaromonas sp. RNAcentral describes it as "partial 16S ribosomal RNA". It matches the Rfam family "Bacterial small subunit ribosomal RNA", at positions 1214 to 1382 of the family's 1533-position model. Lineage: Bacteria; Pseudomonadati; Pseudomonadota; Betaproteobacteria; Burkholderiales; Comamonadaceae. The record is from RNAcentral.